CGUGCCUCCCGGAGCUAACGCGUUAAAUCGACCGCCUUGGGAGUACGGCCGCAAGGUUAAAACUCAAAUGAAUUGACGGGGCCCGCACAAGCGGUGGAGCAUGUGGUUUAAUUCGAUGCAACGCGAAGAACCUUACCUGGUCUUGACAUCCACAGAACUUUCCAGAGAUGGAUUGGUGCCUUCGGGAACUGUGAGACAGGUGCUGCAUGGCUGUCGUCAGCUCGUGUUGUGAAAUGUUGGGUUAAGUCCCGCAACGAGCGCAACCCUUAUCCUUUGUUGCCAGCGGUCCGGCCGGGAACUCAAAGGAGACUGCCAGUGAUAAACUGGAGGAAGGUGGGGAUGACGUCAAGUCAUCAUGGCCCUUACGACCAGGGCUACACACGUGCUACAAUGGCAUAUACAAAGAGAAGCGACCUCGCGAGAGCAAGCGGACCUCAUAAAGUAUGUCGUAGUCCGGAUUGGAGUCUGCAACUCGACUCCAUGAAGUCGGAAUCGCUAGUAAUCGUAGAUCAGAAUGCUACGGUGAAUACGUUCCCGGGCCUUGUACACACCGCCCGUCACACCAUGGGAGUGGGUUGCAAAAGAAGUAGGUAGCUUAACCUUCGGGAGGGCGCUUACCACUUUGUGAUUCAUGACUGGGGUGAAGUCGUAACAAGGUAACCGUA
RNAcentral lists this ribosomal RNA (665 nucleotides) under uncultured bacterium. Its description in RNAcentral is "bacterial SSU rRNA". It matches the Rfam family "Bacterial small subunit ribosomal RNA", at positions 838 to 1504 of the family's 1533-position model. The record is from RNAcentral.